Molecule: ribosomal RNA, 253 nt
Filed under: uncultured bacterium
Lineage: Bacteria
Description: partial 16S ribosomal RNA
Rfam family: Bacterial small subunit ribosomal RNA
Source: RNAcentral
UACGUAGGCAGCAAGCGUUGUUCGGAGUUACUGGGCGUAAAGAGUGUGUAGGCGGUGCUCCAAGUCUGGUGUGAAAUCUCCCGGCUUAACUGGGAGGGUGCAUUAGAAACUGGAAUGCUAGAGGAUGGGAGAGGUAAGCGGAAUUCCUGGUGUAGCGGUGAAAUGCGUAGAUAUCAGGAGGAACACCUGUGGUGUAGACAGCUUACUGGACCAUUUCUGACGCUGAGACACGAAAGCGUGGGUAGCAAACAGG